UUCUGUGGGUGCCACGUCUCGGUUCAAGGGGGCAGUGUCCGGAGCGGUGGUUUGGAGUUUCAGGGACACGUCAAGGUCAUGAGGACGGCGGGAUAGAAGAGCUGAAGUCCAGGAGACUCAGAAAUCUCGGUUGUUGGCUGACACUCAAAGGGUGCCUCAAAGCCAGCGGAGUUCCCAGG
This 179-nucleotide long non-coding RNA is filed under the name Dasypus novemcinctus (nine-banded armadillo). RNAcentral's name for it is "lncRNA (ENSDNOG00000050345.1)". Lineage: Eukaryota; Metazoa; Chordata; Mammalia; Cingulata; Dasypodidae. The record is from RNAcentral.